CCUACGGGUGGCAGCAGUGGGGAAUAUUGGACAAUGGGCGAAAGCCUGAUCCAGCCAUGCCGCGUGUGUGAAGAAGGCCUUCGGGUUGUAAAGCACUUUCAGUGGGGAAGAAAGCCUUGGGGCUAAUACCCUCGAGGAAGGACAUCACCCACAGAAGAAGCACCGGCUAACUCCGUGCCAGCAGCCGCGGGAAUACGGAGGGUGCGAGCGUUAAUCGGAAUUACUGUGCGUAAAGCGCGCGUAGGCGGUCUGAUAAGCCGGUUGUGAAAGCCCCGGGCUCAACCUGGGAACGGCAUCCGGAACUGUCAGGCUAGAGUGCAGGAGAGGAAGGUAGAAUUCCCGGUGUAGCGGUGGAAUGCGUAGAGAUCGGGAGGAAUACCAGUGGCGAAGGCGGCCUUCUGGACUGACACUGACGCUGAGGUGCGAAAGCGUGGGUAGCAAACAGGAUUAGAUACCCCGGUAGUC
Molecule: ribosomal RNA, 465 nt
Filed under: Vreelandella stevensii
Lineage: Bacteria; Pseudomonadati; Pseudomonadota; Gammaproteobacteria; Oceanospirillales; Halomonadaceae
Description: partial 16S ribosomal RNA
Rfam family: Bacterial small subunit ribosomal RNA
Source: RNAcentral